RNAcentral lists this transfer RNA (70 nucleotides) under Heliodoxa aurescens. RNAcentral describes it as "tRNA-Arg". Lineage: Eukaryota; Metazoa; Chordata; Aves; Apodiformes; Trochilidae. The record is from RNAcentral.
AGAAAGUUAGUCUAACCCAAGACAGCUGAUUUCGACUCAGCAAAUCAUAGAUUAACCCUAUGACCUUCUU